RNAcentral lists this non-coding RNA (23 nucleotides) under Mus musculus (house mouse). Lineage: Eukaryota; Metazoa; Chordata; Mammalia; Rodentia; Muridae. The record is from RNAcentral.
UCAAUGACCGCACGCUCACACUU